This 533-nucleotide ribosomal RNA is filed under the name uncultured Saccharibacillus sp. RNAcentral describes it as "bacterial SSU rRNA". It matches the Rfam family "Bacterial small subunit ribosomal RNA", at positions 27 to 528 of the family's 1533-position model. Lineage: Bacteria; Bacillati; Bacillota; Bacilli; Caryophanales; Paenibacillaceae. The record is from RNAcentral.
CGGCCGCGUCGACCGAACGCUGGCGGCAUGGCCUAAUACAUGCAAGUCGAGCGGAUUUGACGAGAAGCUUGCUUCUCGGAGAGUUAGCGGCGGACGGGUGAGUAACACGUAGGCAACCUGCCUUAUAGCCUGGGAUAACUUCCGGAAACGGAUGCUAAUACCGGAUACAUCAUUUUCCGGCAUCGGAGAAUGAGGAAAGACGGCGCAAGCUGUCACUACAAGAUGGGCCUGCGGCGCAUUAGCUAGUUGGUGGGGUAACGGCGUCACCAAGGCGACGAUGCGUAGCCGACCUGAGAGGGUGAACGGCCACACUGGGACUGAGACACGGCCCAGACUCCUACGGGAGGCAGCAGUAGGGAAUCUUCACAAUGGGCGAAAGCCUGAUGGAGCAAUGCCGCGUGAGUGAUGAAGGUUUUCGGAUCGUAAAGCUCUGUUGCCAGGGAGAACGUCCGGGUGAGUACUGCACCGGAGUGACGGUACCUGAGAAGAAACGCCCCGGNUAACGUACGUGCCAGCGAGCCGGCGUUAAACGG